CCUACGGGCGGCAGCAGUGGGGGAUAUUGCACAAUGGGGGGAACCCUGAUGCAGCGACGCCGCGUGGGUGAAGGAGUGCUUCGGCAUGUAAAGCCCUAUCGGCAGGGAAGAAGCAAGACGGUACCUGACUAAGAAGCCCCGGCUAACUACGUGCCAGCAGCCGCGGUAAUACGUAGGGGGCGAGCGUUAUCCGGAUUCACUGGGUGUAAAGUGAGCGUAGACGGCCAUGCAAGCCAGGGGUGAAAGCCCGGGGCCCAACCCCGGGACUGCCCUUGGAACUGUGCGGAUAGAGUGCGGGAGGGGCAGGCGGAAUUCCUGGUGUAGCGGUGAAAUGCGUAGAUAUCAGGAGGAACACCGGCGGCGAAGGCGGCCUGCUGGACCGCGACUGACGUUGAGGCUCGAAAGCGUGGGGAGCGAACAGGAUUAGAUACCCCUGUAGUC
Molecule: ribosomal RNA, 441 nt
Filed under: uncultured bacterium
Lineage: Bacteria
Description: partial 16S ribosomal RNA
Rfam family: Bacterial small subunit ribosomal RNA
Source: RNAcentral